AGCCCGGUCGUCUAGCGGCCAAUCUGGUCAGAAGGGCCAUGGAUCUCGGGCUCUGGCCCCGAGGACGCCGGUUCGAAUCCGGCCCGGGCUACCA
RNAcentral lists this transfer RNA (94 nucleotides) under Candidatus Caldarchaeum subterraneum. RNAcentral describes it as "Candidatus Caldiarchaeum subterraneum (hot springs metagenome) tRNA-Gln". RNAcentral also lists the same sequence under 1 other name. Lineage: Archaea; Thermoproteati; Nitrososphaerota; Candidatus Caldarchaeales; Candidatus Caldarchaeaceae. The record is from RNAcentral.